AUCUCUGUGGUGUAGUGGUAGCACACGCCCCAAUAUAGGAUGAAGCACGGGUUCAACUGCCGCCUGAGAUU
Molecule: non-coding RNA, 71 nt
Organism: Parelaphostrongylus tenuis
Lineage: Eukaryota; Metazoa; Nematoda; Chromadorea; Rhabditida; Metastrongylidae
Source: the annotation of a GenBank genome assembly